RNAcentral lists this transfer RNA (70 nucleotides) under Ensifer sp. SSB1. Its description in RNAcentral is "tRNA-Ile". It matches the Rfam family "tRNA". From Rfam's summary of the family: Transfer RNA (tRNA) molecules are approximately 80 nucleotides in length. Lineage: Bacteria; Pseudomonadati; Pseudomonadota; Alphaproteobacteria; Hyphomicrobiales; Rhizobiaceae. The record is from RNAcentral.
GGGCCUGUAGCUCAAUGGUUAAAGCCGUCGGCUGAUGACCGACUGCUUGCGGGUCCUGCCGGGCCCACCA